RNAcentral lists this ribosomal RNA (250 nucleotides) under uncultured bacterium. RNAcentral's name for it is "partial 16S ribosomal RNA". It matches the Rfam family "Bacterial small subunit ribosomal RNA", at positions 802 to 1057 of the family's 1533-position model. The record is from RNAcentral.
GUAAACGAUGUAUACUCGCGGUUUGCGAUACAGUGUAAGCCGCCAAGCGAAAGCAUUAAGUAUACCACCUGGGGAGUACGCCGGCAACGGUGAAACUCAAAGGAAUUGACGGGGGCCCGCACAAGCGGAGGAACAUGUGGUUUAAUUCGAUGAUACGCGAGGAACCUUACCCGGGCUUGAACUAAGAGUGACAGAUCUAGAGAUAGAUUCUUCUUCGGACACUCUUGGAGGUGCUGCAUGGCUGUCGUAG